RNAcentral lists this ribosomal RNA (460 nucleotides) under uncultured bacterium. RNAcentral describes it as "partial 16S ribosomal RNA". It matches the Rfam family "Bacterial small subunit ribosomal RNA", at positions 338 to 795 of the family's 1533-position model. The record is from RNAcentral.
CCUACGGGGGGCAGCAGUGAGGAAUAUUGGUCAAUGGCCGGAAGGCUGAACCAGCCAUGCCGCGUGAAGGUCAGUGCCCUAUGGGCGUUAAACUUCUUUUGUGCGGGAGCAAUAAUGGUCACGUGUGGCCAGACGAGAGUACCGUACGAAUAAGCAUCGGCUAACUCCGUGCCAGCAGCCGCGGUAAUACGGGGGAUGCAAGCGUUAUCCGGAUUUAUUGGGUUUAAAGGGUGCGUAGGCUGGGAGGUAAGUCAGCGGUGAAAUGCCCCGGCUCAACGGGGUGAAGUGCCAUUGAUACUGCCUGGCUGGAAUGCGGAUGCCGUGGGAGGAAUGUGUGGUGUAGCGGUGAAAUGCAUAGAUAUCACACAGAACACCGAUUGCGAAGGCAUCUCACGAAUCCGCGAUUGACGCUGAUGCACGAAAGCGUGGGUAUCAAACAGGAUUAGAUACCCGGGUAGUC